UACGGAGGGUGAAAGCGUUAUCCGGAAUCACUGGGUUUAAAGGGUGCGUAGGCGGCUUAAUAAGUCAGAGGUGAAAGGCUGUGGCUCAACCAUGGGAUUGCCUUUGAUACUGUUAGGCUUGAAUCAGGCUGAGGUUGGCAGAAUGUGGCAUGUAGCGGUUAAAUGCAUAGAUAUGCCAUAGAAUACCGAUUGCGAAGGUAGCUGCCUGGCCCUUGAUUGACGCUGAGGCACGAAAGCGUGGGGAGCGAACAGG
Molecule: ribosomal RNA, 253 nt
Filed under: uncultured bacterium
Lineage: Bacteria
Description: partial 16S ribosomal RNA
Rfam family: Bacterial small subunit ribosomal RNA
Source: RNAcentral